CGUUGGAAGGCCAAGGCGGGCAGGCAGAUCACCUGAGGUCAGGAAUUCAAGACCAGCCCCGCUGUAGUAGAGAAACCCCAUCUCUACCAAAAAUACAAAAAUUAGCCAAGUGUUGUGGUGUGUCCGGAAUGAGUGGGUUCUUGGUCUCGCUGCCUUCAAGAAUAAAGCCGCAGACCUUCAGGGACAUCAGCUCCAAGAGGACAAGAAUCCUGUUUUGUUCACACAUGUUACCUGAAUGCCUCGAACGGUGCCUGGCACAUAAAAGACGCUUAACAAAUAUUUGUUGAAUAAAAAAAUGAAUUUGUGCAUUGCAUUGGCUCUGAGUGUGAUGCUUCCCUAAACCAGUUCCCCCACUCCCCUACAAUUCCUCUCUUAAUAUUUGUUUUAAGCUACGAUGUUCUUUAGAAUUGUUUUUUCUCUUAAAUAUGACCCCUGUUGCUUUCUCUCUUUAGGAAUAAUUCCAAGUUUCUGGUUCAUUAAUGAAGCUUUUUAUUAUUUCCUCACACUGUUAUAGAUUUGUUUUUUUUAAUUUGUUAAAAGGUACAACAUUACAGCUAAGAGGAACAAGUUCUAGUGUUCUAUAAUACUGCACGAUGACUAUAGUUAACAAUAAUAUAGUAUAUAGUUUCAAAGAGCUAGAAAGAGGAUAUUGAACGUUCUCACACGAAGAAAUGACAAAUGUUUGAGGUGAUGGACAUGUAAACUACCUUGAUGUGAUCGCCAUACAUUAUAUAUAUAUUGAAACAUUACUAUGUACUCCUUGAAUAUAUACAACUAUUAUUUGUCAAUUAAUAGAAUAGAAUGAAAUAAAUAAUAAUAAAUGACUAUACCUCUCCACC
Molecule: long non-coding RNA, 839 nt
Filed under: Homo sapiens (human)
Lineage: Eukaryota; Metazoa; Chordata; Mammalia; Primates; Hominidae
Description: HSALNT0070183
Source: RNAcentral